This 342-nucleotide ribosomal RNA is filed under the name Triticum aestivum (bread wheat). Its description in RNAcentral is "partial small subunit ribosomal RNA". Lineage: Eukaryota; Viridiplantae; Streptophyta; Magnoliopsida; Poales; Poaceae. The record is from RNAcentral.
AUGGAUUCCGGUGAAGAGGUGGAUUGGAUAGGGAUAGCUGCUGCUGUCGAACUCGAAGAAGCUGGAGCUGAGGCUGCUGCUGCCAAAGAAGCUACGAGUGUGGCAAGGGCAGUGGCUUCGGCGCCCAGAUCAACCAACCGGAAGCGACCACAUGACUCCGACGACUGGCAGGGCAUUCCUUCGACAUUUAAUUUAGCUGAUGUGGAUCCUGAUCCUGGCACACGCAAGCAAAUUGAAGAGUAUGCAACUCCAGAAAUUAGAGAUGAAAUGAGAAGGGCAUAUUUGUCGAAAGAUGUGGGGCAUUUGUAUGGUCAUGAUUUUUCUCGUACUCGUUUUGGGUAA